UAGUCCACGCCGUAAACGAUGGAUACUAGCUGUUUGAACUUCGGUUUGAGUGGCUAAGCGAAAGUGAUAAGUAUCCCACCUGGGGAGUACGGUCGCAAGACUGAAACUCAAAGGAAUUGACGGGGCCCGCACAAGCGGUGGAGCAUGUGGUUUAAUUCGAUGAUACGCGAGGAACCUUACCAGGGCUUAAAUGUAGAUUGACAGGCUGAGAGAUCGGCUUUUCUUCGGACAAUUUACAAGGUGUUGCAUGGUUGUCGUCAGCUCGUGCCGUGAGGUGUCAGGUUAAGUCCUAUAACGAGCGCAACCCCUGUUGUUAGUUGCCAGCGAGUAAUGUCGGGAACUCUAGCAAGACUGCCGGUGCAAACCGUGAGGAAGGUGGGGAUGACGUCAAAUCAUCACGGCCCUUACGUCCUGGGGCCACACACGUGCUACAAUGGGUAGGGGACA
RNAcentral lists this ribosomal RNA (447 nucleotides) under uncultured bacterium. Its description in RNAcentral is "bacterial SSU rRNA". It matches the Rfam family "Bacterial small subunit ribosomal RNA", at positions 791 to 1243 of the family's 1533-position model. The record is from RNAcentral.